UACGUAGGGUGCGAGCGUUGUCCGGAAUUAUUGGGCGUAAAGGGCUCGUAGGCGGUUUGUCGCGUCGGGAGUGAAAACGCCGUGCUUAACACGGCGCUUGCUUUCGAUACGGGCAGACUAGAGGUAUUCAGGGGAGAACGGAAUUCCUGGUGUAGCGGUGAAAUGCGCAGAUAUCAGGAGGAACACCGGUGGCGAAGGCGGUUCUCUGGGAAUGACCUGACGCUGAGGAGCGAAAGUGUGGGGAGCGAACAGGAUUAGAAACCCGAGUAGU
RNAcentral lists this ribosomal RNA (271 nucleotides) under uncultured bacterium. RNAcentral describes it as "partial 16S ribosomal RNA". It matches the Rfam family "Bacterial small subunit ribosomal RNA", at positions 524 to 794 of the family's 1533-position model. The record is from RNAcentral.